CCCCCCCCCCCCCCCGCCCCUCCCGUGGCCGCCAGCCCCCUACUCCUCCUCCGCUCACUUCGUGGACUCCGGCUGAGGCAGCGGCAACCUCCCCUACUGCCCCACCCGCCGCCUUCCCUCGUGGACUCCGGCCUAAGCAGCGGCAAGCGUCGGCAGCAGAGAAGCGGCCGGCUUUCGCCGUGCGGGCCGUGCAGGUGUCUCCAAUUCUUGAUGGGAAUCAGACCGAUGCUGAUUCAAACACUGCAGGGGAGGAAGUUGCUUCAAGGCUGUUGAACAGGCAACAAAGCAGAAAGACUGUUAAAGUUGAAAUCUAGGAAAAACUAAACAACUUCGUCAAAGCUGCACUGUAUUUUGCUUGUUUGGGAAUGGAGGAUAUUAGGUAAUGAUCCGGGUGACGAUCUCUCCAAUCGUGCCAGUAUUUAGACACUUCUACCAUGAGGACAAAUUUAUGUUCAUAUGAUUGGCUCAUAAUUACCCGAUCUUUUCAAAACAUUGCCGAACUCCAAUUCCAAUCGGCCGAUCUAGAUUUCUCUCCGGUUUGUCCUGAAUUUGAUGUCCAAUUCUCUAACCACACAACGACCUAUACGAGAAAAGCAUUGGCAUCGCUCUUUUAUUUGUCAAGGACAAUUUCCCAGAAAAAAAUUGAUAUUAUUUUCUUAUGGAAAUUAGUAGCUUGGCACAGAUACUGGUAUUCCAUGACAGCGAGACUUAGAUUAUAAGAUUAUGUUGUUGUCUUUGCAGUACAUGUGAAUUUUCGCAUAUAUUAUAUUUAAUGUGAAAGCGAAA
Molecule: long non-coding RNA, 786 nt
Organism: Brachypodium distachyon (stiff brome)
Lineage: Eukaryota; Viridiplantae; Streptophyta; Magnoliopsida; Poales; Poaceae
Exons: 3
Source: RefSeq, a predicted model, not a curated record